Molecule: ribosomal RNA, 1346 nt
Filed under: uncultured bacterium
Lineage: Bacteria
Description: partial 16S ribosomal RNA
Rfam family: Bacterial small subunit ribosomal RNA
Source: RNAcentral
GACGAACGCUGGCGGCGUGCUUAACACAUGCAAGUCGAACGGAAAGGCCCUGCUUUUGUGGGGUGCUCGAGUGGCGAACGGGUGAGUAACACGUGAGUAACCUGCCCUUGACUUUGGGAUAACUUCAGGAAACUGGGGCUAAUACCGGAUAGGAGCUCCUGCUGCAUGGUGGGGGUUGGAAAGUUUCGGCGGUUGGGGAUGGACUCGCGGCUUAUCAGCUUGUUGGUGGGGUAGUGGCUUACCAAGGCUUUGACGGGUAGCCGGCCUGAGAGGGUGACCGGCCACAUUGGGACUGAGAUACGGCCCAGACUCCUACGGGAGGCAGCAGUGGGGAAUAUUGCACAAUGGGCGGAAGCCUGAUGCAGCAACGCCGCGUGCGGGAUGACGGCCUUCGGGUUGUAAACCGCUUUCGCCUGUGACGAAGCGUGAGUGACGGUAAUGGGUAAAGAAGCACCGGCUAACUACGUGCCAGCAGCCGCGGUGAUACGUAGGGUGCGAGCGUUGUCCGGAUUUAUUGGGCGUAAAGGGCUCGUAGGUGGUUGAUCGCGUCGGAAGUGUAAUCUUGGGGCUUAACCCUGAGCGUGCUUUCGAUACGGGUUGACUUGAGGAAGGUAGGGGAGAAUGGAAUUCCUGGUGGAGCGGUGGAAUGCGCAGAUAUCAGGAGGAACACCAGUGGCGAAGGCGGUUCUCUGGGCCUUUCCUGACGCUGAGGAGCGAAAGCGUGGGGAGCGAACAGGCUUAGAUACCCUGGUAGUCCACGCUGUAAACGGUGGGUACUAGGUGUGGGGUCCAUUCCACGGGUUCCGUGCCGUAGCUAGCGCUUUAAGUACCCCGCCUGGGGAGUACGGCCGCAAGGCUAAAACUCAAAGGAAUUGACGGGGCCCCGCACAAGCGGCGGAGCAUGCGGAUUAAUUCGAUGCAACGCGUAGAACCUUACCUGGGUUUGACAUGGAUCGGGAGUGCUCAGAGAUGGGUGUGCCUCUUUUGGGGUCGGUUCACAGGUGGUGCAUGGCUGUCGUCAGCUCGUGUCGUGAGAUGUUGGGUUAAGUCCCGCAACGAGCGCAACCCUUGUUCACUGUUGCCAGCACGUUAUGGUGGGGACUCAGUGGAGACCGCCGGGGUCAACUCGGAGGAAGGUGGGGAUGACGUCAAGUCAUCAUGCCCCUUAUGUCCAGGGCUUCACGCAUGCUACAAUGGCUGGUACAGAGAGUGGCGAGCCUGUGAGGGUGAGCGAAUCUCGGAAAGCCGGUCUCAGUUCGGAUUGGGGUCUGCAACUCGACCUCAUGAAGUCGGAGUCGCUAGUAAUCGCAGAUCAGCAACGCCGCGGUGAAUACGUUCCCGGGGCU